This 382-nucleotide ribosomal RNA is filed under the name Eleale aulicodes. Its description in RNAcentral is "partial 12S ribosomal RNA". The record is from RNAcentral. Lineage: Eukaryota; Metazoa; Arthropoda; Insecta; Coleoptera; Cleridae.
UAAAAUUAAAAAAUUUGGCGGUAUUUUAGUCUUUUCAGAGGAACCUGUUCUAUAAUCGAUAAUCCACGAUUUAAUGUACUUGUUUUAAUAAAUUUAUAUAUCGUCGUAGUUUGAAUAUUUUAGUAGAAAUUUAAUAUUCAAGAUUUUUAUUAAAAAAUAAAUCAGAUCAAGGUGUAGUUUAUAAAUAAGAAGAAAUGGGUUACAAUUAAAAUAUUAAUGAAUAAAUUUAUUUAAAUAAAUUUUGAAAUUGGAUUUGAAAGUAAUUUUUUAUAAUUAUAAAAAAUGAUUUUGGCUCUAAAAUAUGUACAUAUUGCCCGUCACUUUUGUUUUAAGAUGAAAUAAGUCGUAACAAAGUAGAUUUACUGGAAGGUGAAUCUAGAAU